This 484-nucleotide ribosomal RNA is filed under the name uncultured bacterium. Its description in RNAcentral is "partial 16S ribosomal RNA". It matches the Rfam family "Bacterial small subunit ribosomal RNA", at positions 28 to 523 of the family's 1533-position model. The record is from RNAcentral.
GAUGAACGCUGGCGGCGUGCUUAACACAUGCAAGUCGAACGGGGAAGCAGGAGCUUGCUCUUGUGGAUCAGUGGCUAACGGGUGAGUAACACGUGAGCAACCUUCCCCUGGCUCUGGGAUAAGCGCUGGAAACGGCGUCUAAUACUGGAUAUGUGAUGUGACCGCAUGGUCUGCAUCUGGAAAGAAUUUCGGUUGGGGAUGGGCUCGCGGCCUAUCAGCUUGUUGGUGAGGUAAUGGCUCACCAAGGCGUCGACGGGUAGCCGGCCUGAGAGGGUGACCGGCCACACUGGGACUGAGACACGGCACAGACUCAUACGGGAGGCAGGAGUGGGGAAUAUUGCACAAUGGGCGGAAGACUGGUGCAGCAACGACGCGUGAGGGAUGACGGCCUUCGGGUUGUAAACCUCUUUUAGCAGGGAAGAAGCGAAAGUGACGGUACCUGCAGAAAAAGCACCGGCUAACUACGUGCCAGCCGCCGCAGUAA